GGAAGACAGUCUACUUAUAAAGCUGAUGCCCAAAAAUAAUGUUUUAUGCCGAGCACACACCAAAGAAACUGGCAACCGCAAUGAAACAGCGAUUUCCGAUAAAUAUCGCCGAUUUCAAGCAGGCAACUGGUUUUCAACUUAGCAGGCGCACACUGAGGAAACUUGCGUUCGAUCAGUUGCUCACAUCUUCUCAAGUCGGCGUCUUUGCCCUCCAAUUUCGUACACUUCUCUUCUACAAUGUCAGAUAAUAAUAUUGUUCCUGUAAUGAUAUGGUGGUGGUUGAGACUGCGUAAGAGGAGAAGACAGGAGAAACGGAAACAUUGGGUGCACCCGUUCUUUCGUGAUAAUUUAAACUCAGGUGUUUAUAUUGUUUCGAAAGAAUUUAAUCAGAAUACAGAACUAUUUAAAUCAUUUUACAGAAUGAGCAUUGAAAGUUUUUCUUUAUUGGUGGAUCUUGUAGGACCUCAAAUUCGAAGAUGAAGAUACAAAUUUUCGUACAGUUGUGUCAGCAGAACCGUAGUCAAAAUUAUAGUUUCGUAUAUUCUAAUUUUUGUUUUCGGACAGCAGACAAGUAGACAAAAGGUUCUGGAUCUACAUCGAACCACCGCACAGUGUAGAACACACAGAACGUAUGCACGCCCAGACAAGGAACACAUACGCCAUAUUGUACGAUCAUAUCAGUAUCCACACACCACAACCCGUACAUCAUAGAAACUUGUUGUUGCGUUUCACAACCGGGCUUACUACGUAGAAAGCUUCUACAAUAAGACCUACAAACAACAUACGUGCCCAAUUUUCUACACUGUAGCAGUGAAACUUAAUAUAUUUAAGUUGGCAUACAAUUCUUAACCUAUCAUCGAAAAACCUUUCACAUUUUUAAUAUAUAAUAUACUUUUAAUAUUUUAUAGCAUUGCAGCACAUUAUAAUUUGAUAUACGAUAUACCCUUACAUUUGUCUUAUUUAUGUAUUUGCUACUUUAUUAUAUCAUCAACUUGAGGCAAGUGUUUUAUGUCAAUACAUAACACGGCGUGUAGCACCUAUAAGGAUCCGUAUCGGUAUUUCAAUGACCGUUCAAUGACUAUACGUACAACUGCCUGAUGGUCUUAUGUAACCGAGCUUUAUACGAUCAAAAAUAAAACUGAAUAUUUGUUGU
Long non-coding RNA from Cryptotermes secundus, 1153 nucleotides. RefSeq lists it as uncharacterized. The transcript is spliced from 2 exons. The record is from RefSeq and is a predicted model, not a curated record. Lineage: Eukaryota; Metazoa; Arthropoda; Insecta; Blattodea; Kalotermitidae.